Hyaena hyaena (striped hyena) is the source of this 646-nucleotide long non-coding RNA. RefSeq lists it as uncharacterized. The transcript has 4 exons. NCBI's taxonomy places the organism in Eukaryota, Metazoa, Chordata, Mammalia, Carnivora, Hyaenidae. The record is from RefSeq and is a predicted model, not a curated record.
GGUCUGUGCGACCAGCGGGCUAUGAUGGGCUUGGCCAUCAGUGAGGAAGUCUGAGGCCGCCGGGGAAAGAGCAUUUCUGUGAGGAGAGGGGAGGACAGUGGAGAAGGGGAGACUGAAGUGAGCGGCAGAACUGCCAUUUAUUGAGUGGAUCCCGGGAGUCAUCCGUGUGUCACACACUGAACACGCAUGUGGCAUGUCAGGGUCACACUGACCCAGGGAGAGCUUGAUGUGUGCCAGAAAUACCCCGUGUGCCCGUUGCCUUUGUUUUUCACCACUGUCGCUGGAAGAGUCCGUUUUGCCUUCUGCCUGCCCAUCUUCGUGAAGCAUUGAACUUCAGGAGAGCUACAGCCCACAUUUUGCCUCAAAGAUUUCUUCUUUGCUUUCUCCCAGUUACCAGGUUGUGAUGAAGCCUUUCAGUCAGUCCAAGGCACCCGAGCUCACUUCCUGGGUCCUUCAAAGGAGGGCGUCUUGGACUUGGGCGGCCAGCUUGACAGAUGGCAAUAAAUCAAAGCUUGCACCUCUUGCUCACGUAGCUCUCUGCUGAUGCUGGACAAACACACCUGCCGUCUACCAUCAACGUCUAGUGGACUAACUGAAUGAAUGAAUAAGUUUCUAGGCCAUCCAUUAAAGAAAUUUCUGGAACUCA